This 236-nucleotide long non-coding RNA is filed under the name Daucus carota (carrot). RNAcentral describes it as "long non-coding RNA (DCAR_LNC002767)". Lineage: Eukaryota; Viridiplantae; Streptophyta; Magnoliopsida; Apiales; Apiaceae. The record is from RNAcentral.
GCCAUCUUAAAUUUCUUACUAUUGAUGAAUAGAUUGUAUUGCAUAAUCUGGUUUGCGGAAUUGCUAUCUUAUAUUUCUUAGUACUAUUGUUGGAAACAUUUACAAUUAAGAUUGUAGCUCGCCUUCUUUCCGGUGAUCAAGUAAUAGGCUGUUUACUGGUCUCCUGGGAUUCACAGAAGUGGAUUGCAGACAGCCGGAUCAAAGACAGACUCGUCAGACGGCAAAGGAGAAAAAUG